UACGGGGGGGGCAAGCGUUGUUCGGAAUUACUGGGCGUAAAGGGCUCGUAGGCGGCCAACUAAGUCGGAUGUGAAAUCCCCAGGCUUAACCUGGGAACUGCAUCCGAUACUGGAUGGCUUGAAUCCGGGAGAGGGAUGCAGAAUUCCAGGUGUAGCGGUGAAAUGCGUAGAUAUCGGGAAGAACACCUGUGGCGAAGGCGGCUCUCUGGGACGGUACUGACGCUGAGACGCGAAAGCGUGGGGAGCAAACAGG
Molecule: ribosomal RNA, 253 nt
Filed under: uncultured bacterium
Lineage: Bacteria
Description: partial 16S ribosomal RNA
Rfam family: Bacterial small subunit ribosomal RNA
Source: RNAcentral